Molecule: ribosomal RNA, 467 nt
Filed under: uncultured bacterium
Lineage: Bacteria
Description: partial 16S ribosomal RNA
Rfam family: Bacterial small subunit ribosomal RNA
Source: RNAcentral
ACGAACGCUGGCGGCGUGCUUAACACAUGCAAGUCGAACGGAAAGGCCCUGCUUUUGUGGGGUGUUCGAGUGGCGAACGGGUGAGUAACACGUGAGUAACCUGCCCCUGACUUUGGGAUAACUUCAGGAAACUGGGGCUAAUACCGGAAAGGAGCUCCUGCUGCAUGGUGGGGGUUGGAAAGUUUCGGCGGUUGGGGAUGGACUCGCGGCUUAUCAGCUUGUUGGUGGGGUAGUGGCUUACCAAGGCUUUGACGGGUAGCCGGCCUGGGAGGGUGACCGGCCACAUUGGGACUGAGAUACGGCCCAGACUCCUACGGGAGGCAGCAGUGGGGAAUAUUGCACAAUGGGCGGAAGCCUGAUGCAGCAACGCCGCGUGCGGGAUGACGGCCUUCGGGUUGUAAACCGCUUUCGCCUGUGACGAAGCGUGAGUGACGGUAAUGGGUAAAGAAGCACCGGCUAACUACGUG